Molecule: long non-coding RNA, 674 nt
Organism: Beta vulgaris subsp. vulgaris (sugar beet)
Lineage: Eukaryota; Viridiplantae; Streptophyta; Magnoliopsida; Caryophyllales; Amaranthaceae
Exons: 2
Source: RefSeq, a predicted model, not a curated record
AUGAUGAUUAUAUUGCAAGGAAAAGGAAGAAAAAUAUACUGGUAUAUCUUACUAGAACAACCCACAAUGAGAACAGUCCAUAUAAUAGUUCACCCUUGUCUAAGCAAACUCUUCUCUCGUUCUCUCUCUCUCACCUUUAUGAAGUGCUUCACCUAAUUUAUAAUUUGUACCACACCCAUUUCUCAUCUAAAUGGGGUGGUUACAAUCCUUCUUCUCUCCACUGAAGAAGCUAUGGUUUCGCCUCCACUCGGCUCCGAAAAAAGGAAGAGGCAUUUACAUUUUGUACGAGGAUGUGAAAUCUUGCCAAUAUGAAGAUGUGCAUGUUUUGUGGUCAAUACUAGUGGAGUCAUCACAUAAACCUGCAGCAAUAUUACCAUCUACACAACCCAAGCUCUUAUGCACACCUCCCAAACAAGUAAAUGAGAGAGGAUAAUGAUUACAAUGAUUUCGGUGAUCUGUACAUAUUACUAUAAAUUAAUGUGAUUUUGGUACAUAUUAUAAUUAUGUAAGUGUUUCUUUUGUGAUUGCUGUGUGAACGAACAACUUAGAAUAAUAAGUUACCUACCCAUAAUUUUUGAUGAAUCCACACUCCUCUUUCAAUGCUCCAUGUAUACUUUUUCAAUUCAAUGCACUAUGUUUUGGAUAGCGCAUAAUAUAUAUAUUUCUAUGUCGAA